RNAcentral lists this ribosomal RNA (497 nucleotides) under uncultured bacterium. RNAcentral describes it as "partial 16S ribosomal RNA". It matches the Rfam family "Bacterial small subunit ribosomal RNA", at positions 28 to 507 of the family's 1533-position model. The record is from RNAcentral.
GAUGAACGCUGGCGGCGUGCCUAAUACAUGCAAGUCGAGCGAACAGACGAGGAGCUUGCUCCUCUAACGUUAGCGGCGGACGGGUGAGUAACACGUGGAUAACCUACCUAUAAGACUGGGAUAACUUCGGGAAACCGGAGCUAAUACCGGAUAAUAUAUUGAACCGCAUGGUUCAAUAGUGAAAGACGGUUUUGCUGUCACUUAUAGAUGGAUCCGCGCCGCAUUAGCUAGUUGGUAAGGUAACGGCUUACCAAGGCAACGAUGCGUAGCCGACCUGAGAGGGUGAUCGGCCACACUGGAACUGAGACACGGUCCAGACUCCUACGGGAGGCAGCAGUAGGGAAUCUUCCGCAAUGGGCGAAAGCCUGACGGAGCAACGCCGCGUGAGUGAUGAAGGUCUUCGGAUCGUAAAACUCUGUUAUUAGGGAAGAACAAAUGUGAAAGUAACUGUGCACGUCUUGACGGUACCUAAUCAGAAAGCCACGGCUAACUACGUG